This is a long non-coding RNA of Wasmannia auropunctata (little fire ant), 670 nucleotides long. RefSeq lists it as uncharacterized. NCBI's taxonomy places the organism in Eukaryota, Metazoa, Arthropoda, Insecta, Hymenoptera, Formicidae. The transcript has 3 exons. The record is from RefSeq and is a predicted model, not a curated record.
AAAUUUGUAUUAAUCACCGAUCGUCGAUCGACUCUCGUUCGACCGACCUAAAUACCGUCAAUAAUUUCCCAAUACGUUCGUAAGCGGCUGGAAAUGAAGCUGUGCGUGCUGGAAAUUACGCGGAAACAUAGAGUCAAAAGGACACAGAUGGUCCGAAACGAAAUGGGGAAAAGACGAGAAACAAAAGAUGCAAACCAUCGUUUAACACAUCUGGAACCUCUUUUCCCUGCGUGCCGCGUGAAUUUCGGGAAGCGUCUUUGCCCCGGGGUAUAUAUAUUGAACACGCCGAGGGUAAAACGGAUAGCAAAACGCGUUUUACGCGACGAGGAGGAAGAGGUGGAAGAGGAAGAGAAGGAGGUGGAGGAGAAAAGGAAAUAAGAAUUCCCUGUCGGCACCGGGAGAGGCUGCCCUCCCGCCGGAUAUUUCUUUCUCUGCUGGCAGUCUGACAAGCGGAGAAUUUUCAUUCCGCGUGUGCGCGCGUACCUAAGUAUUUACAGGUUUCAAAAUACGUUUCUGAUGAGUGAUAUUUUCGAACAUCGAGCGAAUAAUUUUAGGAAGUUAUAUUGAAGAAAGCGUAUCGAUUAUAAAAGAAAAAUAAAGUAGAAAUUGUGUUUUCAAAAGUUUCGUCUGGCACGUUAUAUACGGGAAAAAGAUGUCCAAGAUAAGAUGC